UUCCCCUAGUAACUGCGAGUGAAGCGGGAAAAGCUCAAAUUUAAAAUCUGGUGGCCUUUGGCCGUCCGAGUUGUAAUUUAGAGAAGCGUCUUCCGCGCUGGACCGUGCACAAGUCUCCUGGAAUGGAGCGUCAUAGAGGGUGAGAAUCCCGUCUUUGGCACGGAUGCCUGGUGCUUUUGUGAUGCGCUCUCGAAGAGUCGAGUUGUUUGGGAAUGCAGCUCAAAAUGGGUGGUGAACUCCAUCUAAAGCUAAAUAUUGGCGAGAGACCGAUAGCGAACAAGUACCGUGAGGGAAAGAUGAAAAGCACUUUGGAAAGAGAGUGAAACAGUACGUGAAAUUGUUGAAAGGGAAACGCUUGAAGUCAGUCGCGUCGACCGAGACUCAGCCUUGCCUUGGCUUGGUGUACUUCUCGGCCCGACGGGUCAGCAUCAAUUUUACCCCUCGGAUAAUGGCAGGGGAAAGGUGGCACCUUUACGGGUGUGUUAUAGUCUCUUGUCGCAUGUGAGGGGUGGGAUUGAGGAACUCAGCGCGCACCUCAGUGUCGGGGCUUCGGCCCACGUCACGCGCUUAGGAUGCUGGCGUAAUGGCUUUAAACGACCCGUCUUGAAACACGGACCAAGGAGUCCAACACGCCCGCGAGUGUUCGGGUGGAAAACCCGUGCGCGUAAUGAAAGUGAAAGUUGGGACCUCUGUCGUGGAGGGCACCGACGCCCGGACCAGACCUUCUGUGACGGAUCUGCGGUAGAGCGUGUGUGUUGGGACCCGAAAGAUGGUGAACUAUGCCUGAAUAGGGUGAAGCCAGAGGAAACUCUGGUGGAGGCUCGUAGCGAUUCUGACGUGCAAAUCGAUCGUCAAAUUUGGGUAUAGGGGCGAAAGACU
This 879-nucleotide ribosomal RNA is filed under the name Lactarius rufus. Its description in RNAcentral is "eukaryotic LSU rRNA". It matches the Rfam family "Eukaryotic large subunit ribosomal RNA", at positions 75 to 932 of the family's 3401-position model. Lineage: Eukaryota; Fungi; Basidiomycota; Agaricomycetes; Russulales; Russulaceae. The record is from RNAcentral.